GAUGAAGAACGCAGCGAAAUGCGAUACGUAAUGUGAAUUGCAGAAUUCAGUGAAUCAUCGAGUCUUUGAACGCACAUUGCGCCCCCUGGUAUUCCGGGGGGCAUGCCUGUCCGAGCGUCAUUGCUGCCCUCAAGCACGGCUUGUGUGUUGGGCCUCCGUCCUCCUCCCGGGGGACGGGCCCGAAAGCCAGCGGCGGCACCGCGUCCGGUCCUCGAGCGUAUGGGGCUUCGUCACCCGCUCUUGUAGGCCCGGCCGGCGCUUGCCGACACAUCAAUCUUUUUUCCAGGUUGACCUCGGAUCAGGUAGGGAUACCCGCUGAACUUAAGCAUAUCAAUAAGCGGAGGA
This 345-nucleotide unclassified non-coding RNA is filed under the name soil metagenome. Its description in RNAcentral is "partial contains 5.8S ribosomal RNA, internal transcribed spacer 2, and large subunit ribosomal RNA". The stretch from base 1 to 120 matches the Rfam family "5.8S ribosomal RNA", at positions 35 to 154 of the family's 154-position model. The record is from RNAcentral.